Molecule: ribosomal RNA, 462 nt
Filed under: uncultured bacterium
Lineage: Bacteria
Description: partial 16S ribosomal RNA
Rfam family: Bacterial small subunit ribosomal RNA
Source: RNAcentral
GUGAACGCUGGCGGCGUGCUUAAUACAUGCAAGUCGCACGAUGAAGUCCUAGCUUGCUAGGAUGGAUUAGUGGCGCACGGGUGAGUAAUAUAUAGUUAAUCUGCCUUGCACUGAGGAACAACAGUUGGAAACGAUUGCUAAUACCUCAUACUCCAACUUUACAUAAGUUAAGUUGGGAAAGUCUUUUCGGUGCAAGAUGAGACUAUAUCGUAUCAGCUAGUUGGUAAGGUAAUGGCUUACCAAGGCUAUGACGCGUAACUGGUCUGAGAGGAUGAUCAGUCACAUUGGAACUGAGACACGGUCCAAACUCCUACGGGAGGCAGCAGUAAGGAAUAUUGUGCAAUGGGGGAAACCCUGACGCAGCAACGCCGCGUGGAGGAUGACACUUUUCGGAGCGUAAACUCCUUUUGUUAGGGAAGAAUAAUGACGGUACCUAACGAAUAAGCACCGGCUAACUCCGUG